Ribosomal RNA from Candida maltosa Xu316, 1954 nucleotides. It matches the Rfam family "Bacterial large subunit ribosomal RNA". The record is from Rfam. Lineage: Eukaryota; Fungi; Ascomycota; Pichiomycetes; Serinales; Debaryomycetaceae.
UAGUAUAGAAAUACUACUGUAAGGAGCAGUCAUAGAAUGGCGUACCUCUUGUAUAAUGGGUCAGUGAGUUAUGUUAUAUAGCGAAGUGUAAGCUGUAUAUAGUAGAAAAAUAAUCAUAAUUUUUUUAUAAAAUGAUAAGUUAUAUAGCAUAGACCCGAAAGCUCAGGAUCUAAAUAUGACCAAAUUUAUAAAUUUUAAAUUUAUAAGAUUCAACUGCUGUAUGUAGCAAUAUACUCAGAAGAGUUGUAUUUAGUAGUGAAAGUCUAAUCUAAUGAGCAGAUAGCUGGUUUUCUAUGAAAUAUAUUUUAGUAUAGCAUACAGUAUCUACUAGACUAGAUAAAUCACUAGUAAUUAAUAGGGAGUAUUUUUCUUAUCUAUUAUUACUAAUAUCAGAACUAGAUCUAGUAUUAUACUAUAUAGUCAGUCUUAUAGCGAGAAGGUUGUAAGACGAAAAGGAAACAACCUAGACUGCUAUGUGUAAGUCCCAAAAUGAAUACUAAGUGGACCUAAUCUUAAAGCUAUUCUACAGUUCACUUAUUCAAUAUUUUUAAAGAAAUAAGUCUACUAUAUGUAGUUGUAUUUUUAAUAUAAUUAUAUGAAAGUAAUAUCUACUAUAUGUAUUAGUGUUUUUAAUAUUAAUAUUUAUAAUAAAUAUCUGCUACGUGGAUUGAAAGAAUUUUAAAUAUUUUAGAAUAUAACUAAUAGAUUUUAUCUACUAGGAGCAGUAGAAUGUUUAGCUAUUUUAUUAAAUUAAUAAAAGUAAGAUUCAGCUAGUAGAACAGUAAAUAUGAUAGUAAUUAUCUGAUAAUGAAUGUGUAACAACUUAUCUACUAAGUAAUCUUUAUUAAGAAAAAAUAUAAGGGCCUAAGUAUACUACUGAACAGCAGAUUUUUAUAAAAAAUAGUAAUAGAAUAUACUACACUACUAGUAGUAAAGAAUAUGCUGACUUGAGUAACGAUAGAGAAGUAUAGCUUCUCCUCUAUAGUAUAAGGUUUAACUAUAAAUUAACGGUCUCUAAUACUACAUAUAGCUAUAUAUAGUAGAUGAGUAAUAUAACUAGAAAUUAUAUGCUACCGUACUGUAGACCGACACUGGUGUACUACAUUUAGCUUAGAACUUUUAUAGUUUUUUGUAAAAAUGGUAAUAGAGAAUAGCAUAAACUUACUUAAUGAACUCGGCAAUGAGAAAAACUUCUUAUAUAUGGUGCGACUGUUUAACAAAAACACAGUCUACUGCUAGCUAGCAUUAGUCAGUAUAGUAGAUGAUAUCUGCCCAGUGUGAGUUAUAUAAUAGCAUAAAUAAUUCAUAAACGGCGGUCUUAUCAUGAGGAUCCUAAGGUAGCGAAAUUCAUUGACGCAUAAUUAGCGUCCUGCAUGAAUGAUUAUACGAUGUCAUAAAUGUAUCAAGUAAGUAGUUAGUGAAAUAGUAAUUGCAGUGAAGAUACUGUAUAUAGCAAUAGGUUGACGAGAAGACCCUAUGCAGCUUUACUAUAGGAUUGCAUUGUUUUAAUUUUUAAUCUUGAGUAAAGUAGUAAUACACACUAGCAUAUAAAAAUGUAAAACUAAUCUAAAUAAAUUAAUAUUUUUGUAAAUAUUAACUGCUAGAUACAGUGCAAUUUUGGUAGUUUCGAUGGGGCGUCGACAUCACAAAAAAUAACUGAUGUGUCUAUCUGAUCUAGUAUAUACAGUUGUAUUUUAUACAAAUAAUAAAUUGAACAGAUACAGCUACGCUAGAUUGUAACUAGUUGUGAAAUUAUUAUAAAAUUUUUCUUAUAGGUUUCAUUAUGAUAAUUGGAUAAUAAUAUAACUGUGUCAUGAUAGAUGUUCUUACUAGAAUAUCUAGUACGUAAGUAUAGUAUAAUGAACAGACAAGCUACAUAUAGCUAUGAUUGUCGAUAACGGAUCAAAGUUACGCUAGGGAUGACAUUUGUCCUACUGUGUAGUGAUAUACAGAA